AACCCUUUGUGAACUUAUACCUUACUGUUGCCUCGGCGCAGGCCGGCCUCACUGAGGCCCCUCGGAAACGAGGAGCAGCCCGCCGGCGGCCAACCAAACUCUUGUUUCUUAGUGAAUCUCUGAGUAAAAAACAUAAAUGAAUCAAAACUUUCAACAACGGAUCUCUUGGUUCUGGCAUCGAUGAAGAACGCAGCGAAAUGCGAUAAGUAAUGUGAAUUGCAGAAUUCAGUGAAUCAUCGAAUCUUUGAACGCACAUUGCGCCCUCUGGUAUUCCGGAGGGCAUGCCUGUUCGAGCGUCAUUUCAACCCUCAAGCAUUGCUUGGUGUUGGGGCACCGCCUGUAAAAGGGCGGGCCCUGAAAUCUAGUGGCGAGCUCGCCAGGACCCCGAGCGUAGUAAUUAUAUUUCGUUCUGGAAGGCCCUGGCGGUGCCCUGCCGUUAAACCCCCAACUUCUGAAAAUUUGACCUCGGAUCAGGUAGGAAUACCCGCUGAACUUAAGCAUAUCAA
Molecule: ribosomal RNA, 506 nt
Filed under: Phomopsis sp. OY36307
Lineage: Eukaryota; Fungi; Ascomycota; Sordariomycetes; Diaporthales; Diaporthaceae
Description: eukaryotic LSU rRNA
Rfam family: 5.8S ribosomal RNA (bases 146-299)
Source: RNAcentral